UAACCAAAGAUGGUGUCUUUUCUGCCC
RNAcentral lists this non-coding RNA (27 nucleotides) under Mus musculus (house mouse). The record is from RNAcentral. Lineage: Eukaryota; Metazoa; Chordata; Mammalia; Rodentia; Muridae.